UACGGAGGGGGCUAGCGUUAUUCGGAAUUACUGGGCGUGAAGCGCACGCAGGCGGAUCUGCAAGUCAGAGGUGAAAUCCCAGGGCUCAACCUUGGAACUGCCUUUGAAACUGUGGGUCUUGAGUUCGGGAGAGGUGAGUGGAAUUCCGAGUGUAGAGGUGAAAUUCGUAGAUAUUCGGAGGAACACCAGUGGCGAAGGCAGCUCACUGGCUCGAUACUGACGCUGAGGUGCGAAAGCGUGGGGAGCAAACAGG
This 253-nucleotide ribosomal RNA is filed under the name uncultured bacterium. RNAcentral describes it as "partial 16S ribosomal RNA". It matches the Rfam family "Bacterial small subunit ribosomal RNA", at positions 524 to 776 of the family's 1533-position model. The record is from RNAcentral.